RNAcentral lists this unclassified non-coding RNA (1297 nucleotides) under Hevea brasiliensis (rubber tree). Lineage: Eukaryota; Viridiplantae; Streptophyta; Magnoliopsida; Malpighiales; Euphorbiaceae. The record is from RNAcentral.
CACCUGCUGCGUGCGCCAUAUGUGAUUUGGUCACUGUCGAAAUAAAUAAAUAUUUACAAUUCAUUCUUUUUUUUCCUUUAUUAUUACCAACUAAAUAAAUAAAUAUUUACAUAUAUUUCUCCAAAUUGACCGUUUUGCCAUUUCUACCAAACAGGCUCCGACUCUUAACCGCGUCGCAACACCGAGUCACCACCACUCAACUCGUCAACGGACUCUUCUUCUUCGACUAUAACGGCGUCAGCAUCCCACCACGUAUCCACAUCGGAUUCCGUCGCAUUUCCUAAAGGUGAGCUGACUUUUCUCAUGUCACCCACCGUUAACCUCCCCGUUAUGUCAUCCCUGACGUAAACCUUCUCCCCGCCGCCAGCACUUCUUCCUACAAAUUUUCCCAACCUCGGCUUCCACUCUGCGAGUAUUUCUGGUAUCCGACUCCCGACCCGCGUGUCCCACACCCUCAGCAAGUGUCCGGACACGGUUGUUUCCGCGGAUACGAUCACUGCCGGCGAUGAAGAAGACGUGGAAAAGGCCGGAAUCUCGCUUUUCUCGCCGAAAAUGGAAAAUACAUUGACCUCUUUAUUCAUAUCGCAAACAGAAAUGCAAUUUCUUGACUGGUUAUCAAGGUUUAAUCCAAAUCCGAACCCUAAGUUAUCCCAGAGCUUCACCACGUUCUUCCCAUUUGAGAACUCAGACCAUGAUGAAAACAGGUCUUCAAGGCUGCUGUUUCUACGUCUCCUCAAGUUACGAUUGUGCCACUGGUCAUCGGUGUAAUGACCGGAGCCCCUGACACUAAAAUCAUCAUCAAUAUACCUCCAGCCCUGUGAAGACGACGAUCCAGGUUCGUAUUCUUCUUCUUCUUCGUCGUAGUCGUCGUCUUCCGAUACCGACGAACAAGACGUGUCUGUUUCGCUGCUGUAGUCAAAAUCUUCAUCAGCACUCAAAGGAGGAGGUUGGGAAGGGAUUAAAUAAUGGUUUUGAAUUCGAAUGAUGAGAAUCUUAAUUCUAUUGAUUAUGGUGGAAAAAGAAGCGACUAGGGCAACAAUCAAAGCUCCCCAUUUACAAAAACUGUAAGCCUGGUGAAUCUUUUCGACCCUAGAUAAAGCAAAAACCUGAGAAGGAAAAGAUGGGUUUUGUAGGGAGGUUAUGCCAGCUUCGAAAUCGCCAAUUCUGUUGAUCACUGGGAUCUCCAUAUUAAUACAAGAAAAACAAACUCAAAGCUCAAACCAGAGACAAAACGUAUAAGCCUGCAGAGAAUAGGCAAGAUGUGGAUUUGUAAUGCAAUUAAAAUUCUAGAGCGAAC